Molecule: ribosomal RNA, 759 nt
Filed under: Salmonella enterica subsp. enterica serovar Paratyphi B var. L(+) tartrate +
Lineage: Bacteria; Pseudomonadati; Pseudomonadota; Gammaproteobacteria; Enterobacterales; Enterobacteriaceae
Description: partial 23S ribosomal RNA
Rfam family: Bacterial large subunit ribosomal RNA
Source: RNAcentral
UCCUGUCUGAAUAUGGGGGGACCAUCCUCCAAGGCUAAAUACUCCUGACUGACCGAUAGUGAACCAGUACCGUGAGGGAAAGGCGAAAAGAACCCCGGCGAGGGGAGUGAAAAAGAACCUGAAACCGUGUACGUACAAGCAGUGGGAGCACAGGUUUACCUGUGUGACUGCGUACCUUUUGUAUAAUGGGUCAGCGACUUAUAUUCUGUAGCAAGGUUAACCGUAUAGGGGAGCCGGAGGGAAACCGAGUCUUAAUUGGGCGUUAAGUUGCAGGGUAUAGACCCGAAACCCGGUGAUCUAGCCAUGGGCAGGUUGAAGGUUGGGUAACACUAACUGGAGGACCGAACCGACUAAUGUUGAAAAAUUAGCGGAUGACCUGUGGCUGGGGGUGAAAGGCCAAUCAAACCGGGAGAUAGCUGGUUCUCCCCGAAAGCUAUUUAGGUAGCGCCUCGUGAAUUCAUCUCCGGGGGUAGAGCACUGUUUCGGCUAGGGGGCCAUCCCGGCUUACCAACCCGAUGCAAACUGCGAAUACCGGAGAAUGUUAUCACGGGAGACACACGGCGGGUGCUAACGUCCGUCGUGAAGAGGGAAACAACCCAGACCGCCAGCUAAGGUCCCAAAGUCAUGGUUAAGUGGGAAACGAUGUGGGAAGGCCCAGACAGCCAGGAUGUUGGCUUAGAAGCAGCCAUCAUUUAAAGAAAGCGUAAUAGCUCACUGGUCGAGUCGGCCUGCGCGGAAGAUGUAACGGGGCUAAACCAU